GAGUUUGAUCAUGGCUCAGGAUGAACGCUAGCGGCAGGCUUAACACAUGCAAGUCGAGGGGUAUAGGUUUUCGGACCUAGAGACCGGCGCACGGGUGCGUAACGCGUAUGCAAUCUGCCUUUUACAGAGGGAUAGCCCAGAGAAAUUUGGAUUAAUACCUCAUAGUAUUAUUGAAUGGCAUCAUUUAAUAAUUAAAGUUUACAACGGUAAAAGAUGAGCAUGCGUCCCAUUAGCUAGAUGGUAAGGUAACGGCUUACCAUGGCGACGAUGGGUAGGGUCCUGAGAGGGAGAUCCCCCACACUGGUACUGAGACACGGACCAGACUCCUACGGGAGGCAGCAGUGAGGAAUAUUGGUCAAUGGGCGCAAGCCUGAACCAGCCAUGCCGCGUGCAGGAAGACGGUCCUAUGGAUUGUAAACUGCUUUUGUACGGGAAGAAACACUCCCUCGUGAGGGAGCUUGACGGUACGUAAGAAUAAGGAUCGGCUAACUCCGUGCCAGCAG
This 503-nucleotide ribosomal RNA is filed under the name uncultured Flavobacterium sp. RNAcentral describes it as "bacterial SSU rRNA". It matches the Rfam family "Bacterial small subunit ribosomal RNA", at positions 9 to 514 of the family's 1533-position model. Lineage: Bacteria; Pseudomonadati; Bacteroidota; Flavobacteriia; Flavobacteriales; Flavobacteriaceae. The record is from RNAcentral.